CAUUGCACUGAACAGUGGGGCU
RNAcentral lists this microRNA (22 nucleotides) under Ptychodera flava. Its description in RNAcentral is "Pfl-Mir-4818-P2_3p (mature (guide))". Lineage: Eukaryota; Metazoa; Hemichordata; Enteropneusta; Ptychoderidae. The record is from RNAcentral.